Aedes albopictus (Asian tiger mosquito) is the source of this 2326-nucleotide RNA transcript. RefSeq lists it as uncharacterized. The record is from RefSeq and is a predicted model, not a curated record. NCBI's taxonomy places the organism in Eukaryota, Metazoa, Arthropoda, Insecta, Diptera, Culicidae. The transcript has 2 exons.
ACUACAUACUAUUUUAUUUCAUGCUAAUGACAAAUUCAUAUAACUUCAUAGAUUGCUACGAUUCGUAAUAUCUAACACUAUGAUUGACAGCGAGUAGCGUCAAAAGCGCCGCCUUCUUGUGACCAUUCAAAAAUAAUGUAUUGGGGUAUUAGUAUUAAAUCUAUGGUAUUAGGGUCGCGAAUCGCAAGUUUCAUAUAGAUUGUUGCUAUAACCGAGCUAUAACCGUCACAGUUUUACAAGCCCUUGCCGUGGAAACUCAGGUUGUGAGUCGAAAAAUUGAAUUAUACUUCAUAAUGCUACCGAAAUGAGUUGUAUUAUGAACCAUAAAGCAACUGUUUGCUAUAAGUAGUGCGAAAAAGUAGGCCGUUGUGAUACUGAAGUGGCAAGUGUAUAAUUAGUUUUAUAGUGCUGAAUUGCGAAAAAAAUCUUCACUGUGGUUACCUCUAACAACACAACCCUGCUGCGUAAAUACUGAAGCCUUGAUAUUGUAUUUUCGUGUGGUUGUCGAAAGAAUAUCUGCCAAAGUUCGUAAGUUGAAAUCGCAUUUAUCAAGAACAGGUUAUAAGACGCAAACUGCCACGUGUAGCAUAGUUGUCCCUUGUUGAUAGGGAUUCUCAUAGAUUCUCAUUGGCAAAGGUAAGUCGGAAUAUCUGAAAUGACUGACUGUUUUCCACCUGAUGUGACGAGAAUUAGCGCCUAUGACGAAGUAAUUUUUUACCCUAGUUAAAUUGUUACUGUAUUCUAGUCCUGUCACGGUCGCCAUGUCAUGUUUUGAAAAUUUUUAGAAAAAUCAAAUAUGGAUUCAGUUUUGCGCUUUCUUGCCAAAAAAAUAUGUUUUUUUUUGGAGUAGUUUGACUUACUAGUAAAAAUACCAAUCCUUGAGUGUCCUUUGUUUGAGAUAGUUGGCUUAGAUUGUGAAUAAUCCAAGUUCUGGUGUGGAUAGUAGUCACGAAAUCUUCUCUGCCUUUCUAUUUGGAUUAAAAUAAAUAAACGAAAGCCAAUUUUCUUGCAAGUGCUACCACGUGCUGCCCACAAGUAUGCAUCGCAGUUCAUCGAGUCGAUUGACAAUGGCCCUAAUCCUACGGGUGGUCUAAUCCAUCAUCCAAGGCCACAUAAUGACACUCAAACAAUCCCUUUGGCCAAUCUUUUGAAGUUUAAUGCGCGAAAUUCCCCACCGCACUUCAUCGCUGGCGGAAACCAGUCUUGGUCCGUGCCGUACCGUGCGCCGUAACCAACCGCUAAUCCACUGGAAGUGCAUUAUCGUUCCGUUCGGCUGCUAGCUGUUCUGCGCGCAAUAAUUUUGCGAGCUUUUAUACAGCUCAUUUGCGAAUACACUUUUGCUUGCUGUCCGUUUGCGUGCCGUACCGAUGAAAACACCCAUGACUAAUUCGAUUUCGUAACACAAAAUCUACCAAUGACAUAAGUCGCGGGAAAAGAAGACAAGGUGAACAAAGUAGGCCUGCUGGAAUGGUUAGCUCCCCAUGGUUGGUGGCGAUCCGCCGUGUGAUCCUAGUUGGCGGUGGCGGCGGUCGGCGGCGUCAUUCAGUAAUCAGGUAAACAACCGCCUAUUUUUGUUCAUGCAACCACCUCUGACCGAACGGCCACACCGUCAGGGAGAGGGACUUAAGGCUACUUACGUGCUUACGUAUGUACUAUGGUACACCUUAGCUGGAGGAAGGUCUCUAUUAUGAAUGACAUUUCCCGUACACCCCCUUGGAAACCAAGCGUCGCAAGUGGAAAGUGGUUCUGCGCGAGCGCACUGCCUCCGUUGGGGUUGAGUAGUUAUUCACUUUCACUGACCGAUCCCGGUUCAGUCUGGCAGCGCCUGCCGAACGAAGUGGUCAACGGAAAAGUGAGAGGAUUCCCCCGGAAAAGAAAGUAUGGAAAACGAAGACAGUACCAAUCAACCGCUGUACGCCCGGGAUGCUGAAGCCGCCGGAGAUGUGUACGAGAAGAAGAAGGGAACUCCCAAGUGCGUACGAGUGCUCGUAGUGUGUAUCUAUCUGUUCACGGUAUCGUUUGCGGCGUUACUGCUGUCCGCGUACUACAUCUUCUUCUGGAAGCCCACGAUGGACGGUAACGGCCAGGACAGUCCCGAGCGGUUAACGGCUUGCGAUAACAACGGUUAACGGCCGUUGGCGACCCAUCAUCAUUGCCGCUAGUUCUAAGUGUUUCAGUAGAUUUAAGAUAACAUUGUCAUACCGGACAACCUGGCCAUUCAGCUAGCGAACCGGAGCGAAGUACCGGCGGAACUGUUCUACACCAACCUCUACAGGCACCUGAUCCACAGCAAGACGAUCAAGGCCCGCAAAUCGGCCGCCGUUCG